This 422-nucleotide ribosomal RNA is filed under the name uncultured archaeon. RNAcentral's name for it is "partial 16S ribosomal RNA". It matches the Rfam family "Archaeal small subunit ribosomal RNA", at positions 323 to 746 of the family's 1478-position model. The record is from RNAcentral.
CUACGGGGGGCUGCAGUUAGGAAUUUUCUGCAAUGCGCGUAAGCGUGACAGAGUGAGCCAGAGUGCUUUUCUAUUUGAAAAGCUUUUGUGAAAUGUAAAAAGUUUUACGAAUAAGGACUGGGUAAGACGAGUGCCAGCCGCCGCGGUAAUACUCGCGGUCCAAGUCGCAGCCACAUUUAUUGGGUCUAAAACAUCCGUAGCUUGCUUUGUAAGUUUCUUGUGAAAUCUGGCUUCUUAAAAGUCAGGCGUGCAAGAAGUACUGCUUAGCUAGAGACUGGAAGACGUAAGAAGUACGUUUGAAGUAGUAGUAAAAUAUUUUAAUCUCGGACGGACUAACAAUAGCGAAGGCAUCUUACGAGGACAGUUCUGACAGUGAGGGAUGAAGGCUAGGGGCGCAAAACGGAUUAGAUACCCCAGUAGUC